UGACAGUACUCCUACGGGGAGGCAGCAGUGAGGAAUAUUGGGACAAUGGAGGCAACUCUGAUCCAGCCCAUGCCGCGUGCAGGAAGACUGCCCUAUGGGUUGUAAACUGCUUUAUACAGGAAGAAACCGCUCUACGUGUAGAGCUCUGACGGUACUGUAAGAAUAAGGAUCGGCUAACUCCGUGCCAGCAGCCGCGGUAAUACGGAGGAUCCAAGCGUUAUCCGGAAUCAUUGGGUUAAGGUCCGUAGGUGGAUAAUUAAGUCAGAGGUGAAAGUCUGCAGCUCAACUGUAGAAUUGCCUUUGAUACUGGUUAUCUUGAGUUAUUAUGAAGUAGUUAGAAUAUGUAGUGUAGCGGUGAAAUGCAUAGAUAUUACAUAGAAUACCAAUUGCGAAGGCAGAUUACUAAUAAUAUACUGACACUGAUGGAACGAAAGCGUGGGGAGCGAACAGGAUUAGAUACCCUGGUAG
Molecule: ribosomal RNA, 468 nt
Filed under: uncultured bacterium
Lineage: Bacteria
Description: bacterial SSU rRNA
Rfam family: Bacterial small subunit ribosomal RNA
Source: RNAcentral